CACCGCCGCGGUAAUACGUAGGUGGCAAGCGUUGUCCGGAAUUAUUGGGCGUAAAGGGCUCGCAGGCGGUUUCUUAAGUCUGAUGUGAAAGCCCCCGGCUCAACCGGGGAGGGUCAUUGGAAACUGGGAAACUUGAGUGCAGAAGAGGAGAGUGGAAUUCCACGUGUAGCGGUGAAAUGCGUAGAGAUGUGGAGGAACACCAGUGGCGAAGGCGACUCUCUGGUCUGUAACUGACGCUGAGGAGCGAAAGCGUGGGGAGCGAACAGGAUUAGAGACCCCCGUAGUCCCUGUCUCUUAUACC
Molecule: ribosomal RNA, 301 nt
Filed under: uncultured bacterium
Lineage: Bacteria
Description: partial 16S ribosomal RNA
Rfam family: Bacterial small subunit ribosomal RNA
Source: RNAcentral